UUAAGCGACUAAGCGUACACGGUGGAUGCCCUGGCAGUCAGAGGCGAUGAAGGACGUGCUAAUCUGCGAAAAGCGUCGGUAAGGUGAUAUGAACCGUUAUAACCGGCGAUGUCCGAAUGGGGAAACCCAGUGCAAUUCGUUGCACUAUCGUUAACUGAAUACAUAGGUUAACGAGGCGAACCGGGGGAACUGAAACAUCUAAGUACCCCGAGGAAAAGAAAUCAACCGAGAUUCCCCCAGUAGCGGCGAGCGAACGGGGAGCAGCCCAGAGUCUGAAUCAGCUUGUGUGUUAGUGGAACGGUCUGGAAAGUCCGACGGUACAGGGUGAUAGUCCCGUACACCAAAAUGCACAGGCUGUGAACUCGAAGAGUAGGGCGGGACACGUGGUAUCCUGUCUGAAUAUGGGGGGACCAUCCUCCAAGGCUAAAUACUCCUGACUGACCGAUAGUGAACCAGUACCGUGAGGGAAAGGCGAAAAGAACCCCGGCGAGGGGAGUGAAAAAGAACCUGAAACCGUGUACGUACAAGCAGUGGGAGCACCUUCGGGUGUGACUGCGUACCUUUUGUAUAAUGGGUCAGCGACUUAUAUUCUGUAGCAAGGUUAACCGUAUAGGGGAGCCGCAGGGAAACCGAGUCUUAACUGGGCGUUAAGUUGCAGGGUAUAGACCCGAAACCCGGUGAUCUAGCCAUGGGCAGGUUGAAGGUUGGGUAACACUAACUGGAGGACCGAACCGACUAAUGUUGAAAAAUUAGCGGAUGACUUGUGGCUGGGGGUGAAAGGCCAAUCAAACCGGGAGAUAGCUGGUUCUCCCCGAAAGCUAUUUAGGUAGCGCCUCGUGAAUUCAUCUUCGGGGGUAGAGCACUGUUUCGGCUAGGGGGUCAUCCCGACUUACCAACCCGAUGCAAACUACGAAUACCGAAGAAUGUUAUCACGGGAGACACACGGCGGGUGCUAACGUCCGUCGUGAAGAGGGAAACAACCCAGACCGCCAGCUAAGGUCCCAAAGUCAUGGUUAAGUGGGAAACGAUGUGGGAAGGCACAGACAGCCAGGAUGUUGGCUUAGAAGCAGCCAUCAUUUAAAGAAAGCGUAAUAGCUCACUGGUCGAGUCGGCCUGCGCGGAAGAUGUAACGGGGCUAAACCAUGCACCGAAGCUGCGGCAGCGACACUAUGUGUUGUUGGGUAGGGGAGCGUUCUGUAAGCCUGCGAAGGUGUGCUGUGAGGCAUGCUGGAGGUAUCAGAAGUGCGAAUGCUGACAUAAGUAACGAUAAAGCGGGUGAAAAGCCCGCUCGCCGGAAGACCAAGGGUUCCUGUCCAACGUUAAUCGGGGCAGGGUGAGUCGACCCCUAAGGCGAGGCCGAAAGGCGUAGUCGAUGGGAAACAGGUUAAUAUUCCUGUACUUGGUGUUACUGCGAAGGGGGGACGGAGAAGGCUAUGUUAGCCGGGCGACGGUUGUCCCGGUUUAAGCAUGUAGGCUGAUUGUCCAGGCAAAUCCGGAUAAUCAAGGCUGAGGUGUGAUGACGAGGCACUACGGUGCUGAAGUAACAAAUGCCCUGCUUCCAGGAAAAGCCUCUAAGCAUCAGGUAACAUCAAAUCGUACCCCAAACCGACACAGGUGGUCAGGUAGAGAAUACCAAGGCGCUUGAGAGAACUCGGGUGAAGGAACUAGGCAAAAUGGUGCCGUAACUUCGGGAGAAGGCACGCUGGUGUGUAGGUGAAGUCCCUGCGGAUGGAGCUGAGACCAGUCGAAGAUACCAGCUGGCUGCAACUGUUUAUUAAAAACACAGCACUGUGCAAACACGAAAGUGGACGUAUACGGUGUGACGCCUGCCCGGUGCCGGAAGGUUAAUUGAUGGGGUUAUCCGUAAGGAGAAGCUCUUGAACGAAGCCCCGGUAAACGGCGGCCGUAACUAUAACGGUCCUAAGGUAGCGAAAUUCCUUGUCGGGUAAGUUCCGACCUGCACGAAUGGCGUAAUGAUGGCCAGGCUGUCUCCACCCGAGACUCAGUGAAAUUGAACUCGCUGUGAAGAUGCAGUGUACCCGCGGCAAGACGGAAAGACCCCGUGAACCUUUACUAUAGCUUGACACUGAACAUUGAGCCUUGAUGUGUAGGAUAGGUGGGAGGCUUUGAAGCGUGGACGCCAGUCUGCGUGGAGCCAACCUUGAAAUACCACCCUUUAAUGUUUGAUGUUCUAACGUUGGCCCCUGACCGGGGUUGCGGACAGUGUCUGGUGGGUAGUUUGACUGGGGCGGUCUCCUCCCAAAGCGUAACGGAGGAGCACGAAGGUUAGCUAAUCCUGGUCGGACAUCAGGAGGUUAGUGCAAUGGCAUAAGCUAGCUUGACUGCGAGCGUGACGGCGCGAGCAGGUGCGAAAGCAGGUCAUAGUGAUCCGGUGGUUCUGAAUGGAAGGGCCAUCGCUCAACGGAUAAAAGGUACUCCGGGGAUAACAGGCUGAUACCGCCCAAGAGUUCAUAUCGACGGCGGUGUUUGGCACCUCGAUGUCGGCUCAUCACAUCCUGGGGCUGAAGUAGGUCCCAAGGGUAUGGCUGUUCGCCAUUUAAAGUGGUACGCGAGCUGGGUUUAGAACGUCGUGAGACAGUUCGGUCCCUAUCUGCCGUGGGCGCUGGAGAAUUGAGGGGGGCUGCUCCUAGUACGAGAGGACCGGAGUGGACGCAUCACUGGUGUUCGGGUUGUCAUGCCAAUGGCACUGCCCGGUAGCUAAAUGCGGAAGAGAUAAGUGCUGAAAGCAUCUAAGCACGAAACUUGCCCCGAGAUGAGUUCUCCCUGAGACUUUAAGUCUCCUGAAGGAACGUUAAAGACGAUGACGUUGAUAGGCCGGGUGUGUAAGCGCAGCGAUGCGUUGAGCUAACCGGUACUAAUGAACCGUGAGGCUUAACCUU
RNAcentral lists this ribosomal RNA (2900 nucleotides) under Klebsiella pneumoniae. RNAcentral describes it as "23S ribosomal RNA". It matches the Rfam family "Bacterial large subunit ribosomal RNA". The record is from RNAcentral. Lineage: Bacteria; Pseudomonadati; Pseudomonadota; Gammaproteobacteria; Enterobacterales; Enterobacteriaceae.